This 233-nucleotide ribosomal RNA is filed under the name uncultured Stenotrophomonas sp. Its description in RNAcentral is "partial 16S ribosomal RNA". It matches the Rfam family "Bacterial small subunit ribosomal RNA", at positions 118 to 353 of the family's 1533-position model. Lineage: Bacteria; Pseudomonadati; Pseudomonadota; Gammaproteobacteria; Lysobacterales; Lysobacteraceae. The record is from RNAcentral.
UCGGAAUCUACUCUGUCGUGGGGGAGUAACGUAGGGAAACUUACGCUAAUACCGCAUACGACUACGGUGAAGCAGGGGAUCUUCGGACCUUGCGCGAUUGAAUGAGCCGAUGUCGGAUUAGCUAGUUGGCGGGGUAAAGGCCCACCAAGGCGACGAUCCGUAGCUGGUCUGAGAGGAUGAUCAGCCACACUGGAACUGAGACACGGUCCAGACUCCUACGGGAGGCAGCAUCA